RNAcentral lists this long non-coding RNA (3198 nucleotides) under Olea europaea subsp. europaea. Lineage: Eukaryota; Viridiplantae; Streptophyta; Magnoliopsida; Lamiales; Oleaceae. The record is from RNAcentral.
ACAAAAAUAUCAUUAAAGUUGUUUUCUUCUCUUCACUUUUGCUUAGUAAAAUCCUUGCAACUGUCUUCACUUUUGCUUCGAAUCGGAACCGUAACAGUCUAUUUUUGUUGAAUUAAGCCCAGCGUACAGAGUGCUUUUCCAGGGCUUUUACAAGUAAUUUUUAAAAAGUCACUUAAUCACACAUGUGGCGAAGAAAACCAGCAGUUGAGGAAAAUGAAAUGCACUCCACCUUAGUUCCUCCUAAAAUAGCAAGCUCACUAUCCCCUUUCGUCCAAGCUAGAAAUCCAACAAAACACAAGCUCAUUAUCCCCUUUCGUUGAAGCUUGAAAUCCGGCCCGCCUGCUCAACUGUCGUCGCCGACCAACCAUCUUCUCCACCUCCAGCAUCAAUCGACGUGAGCUAUCUUGCACCCAUUUCGUAGAAUCAAGAAAUCCACAAAUUUGAACCGUAGCCGAAAUAUAUUCUCCGCCUCCAAGCCGUGACUUGUUGGUUAGUGCAUUAAGCUCAAUCUUUGUUAUAAAUACGCAUGGCUCAUUUGUCCAUUUUCAAUACUCAUGGCUGACAUAGAAAAAACAGCUUGAAUAUUAUAAAUCCUAAAGCUAGAAGGUAGACGAAGAAACAAAUCACAAAAUGAGAUUGCAAAGUCUAAGUGAUUUAUGUUUUUCAACUUAGAAACCAAGUGUAACGUGAAAAAUAAUAACCAAAUUACAAACUACAUGUUUUUAUCAUAUUAUCCGGUGUCAAUUUGUUGUCCCUAAUAUAACCUAUGUUAGUAUCUUGAAUAAAUUAAAUUUUGUCGUGAUGCUAACAAUUGAAUUACUUUUAAUAUGCUGAACCCUCAACGGCCCAACCUCUUUCUUUGUCUGCAGUAAUCUCUAUCAUUGUGUUUGUUAUUUGCCCAUUUUCAUAUGAAGGUAUUAGAUAUUGUCAUGUAGAAUAGGUAAUCUGAUUAAAUGUUGUGAUUGUUUUGUUCUCAAUUUGUCACUACAGGGCAAAUUUGUGUAGUGGUUUAAUAUGUAGAUAGAAACAUGAAUUUAUUUUUGAUGUGUUUAUGGUAGUGUAAUUGAUUUAUGUAACAUAACGUUACCAAUUAUUUCAUCGCAGGUUGUUUGUUACGCAAGACGUGCAUAAUAAUUUUGUUGCUGACUCUAAAAAUGAGAAUGCUGUUCAAAAUACAAAUAUAACGGGAGAAGAAGGGUUAGGAGAUGAGGGCUCGAUUGUGCCUGAGGUGGGUAUAUAGUUCACGGAUGAAAAAGCAAUGUUCGAGUUCUAUAAAAGAUAUACAUACGACAUAGGUUUUCCAGUUCGGAAGAGAAAUUCGAAAAAAUGGGAGGAUGGAGUUCUAAGAUAUAUGACCUUUACAUGUAGUCGUGAAGGUUGAAGAAGCACUAAUGUCGUUGGUUCAUUGAAGCCUCAACAAACAAUGCAGAUGGAUUGUAAAGCCAGGAUCUCUACUUCUUCAGAUGAUAAGGAACUUGGAGGAUCAACACAGCCCACCUCGAGCACAAUCAUACAACAAGCCCUUCAAAGUCUAGGUUUUACCGUUACAAUCGAAAAUUGUCAGCAUAUGUGAAAAGAAAGCUUGGAGUGAAUGACAUGGCCGGAAUUUCGCUGCUUUAAAGUUUCAAUUCCGUAGUCGUUGAAACUAGUAGAUAUGAGAAUUUGCCUUGUGUGGAAAAGGAUUGCUGGAAUUAUAUUGAGUAAGUGAGAUGAUUACGACUCAAAGAGGGUGAUGCAACCACAAUGCAAUCUUACUUAUCGAAAAUGCAAGUACGAUGUCCUGAAUUUUACUUCAGUAUGGAUUUAGAUGAUGAGUCGCAACUGAAGAACAUAUUUUGGGCUGAUAAUAGAUGCAGGCAGGCUUGUAAGGACUUCGACGAUGUUGUCACCUUUGACACCACUUAUCUUACCAAUAAAUACGACAUGCCUUUUGCUCCUUUUGUUGGAGUUAACCAUCAUGGUCAAUCAACACUGUUGGAUUGUGGUCUGUUAUCAAACAAGGACACAGAUACAUUUGUUUGGCUAUUCAGUACAUGGCUUGAGGGCAUGCAUGGUCAAGCCCCCAUGGAAUCAUUACAGACCAAGACAGGGCUAUGCAAAAUGGAAUUAAAAUCAUUUUUUCGAACACCAAUCAUAGAUGAUGUUUAUCGCACAUUUUGAAGAAAUUGCCGGAGAAGUUUGGGUAUCAUGUUGAUAAGGGAAACAUAUUUUCGGCUAUACAUAGAUUGAUGUAUGAUUCACAGACUGAUGAAGAAUUUGAAGAAGGUUGGGCAUUGAUGGUUGAUAAGUGUAUUUUAUACACUUAUUUGAUGCCUAAAAUAAUGAUGUUUAAUAGUUCUUUUGACAAAAUAUAUCCUAAAUUGUUAUAUUUUAUGUUUAAUAGGUAAAAUCUAGGGAUGGAAAAAGGAAUUGAAGGAAAGAAGCAAAAAUUGACGGAAAAUAGCAAAAUUCAAAGUAUGAGAACUACAUUGCAUUAACUUGAAAGAUUGGAUGGCUUGAUGGAAAUAAUAAAUUAAUUGGGCCCUAAGUGGACGUGGAAUUAGAGUCAAAUUGCAUAAUUAAUUGAGGUUUUAAUGGGAUUCCAACAGGAUUUGGGAGGCAGUCUAGAGUCCUUUUGAAAGUAAAUUAUUGGGCUGCUAGGUUAAUCUUGUGCUGGAGGAAUUAAAGGAGUAACCAAUAUAAAAACACGUGCAGACCUAGAAAAAAAAAGGAGAGAGCUGGUGGGAGAAAAUUGGACUCCAAUUUGGAGUCAAUUAUUGCGACUCUAACACGCAGAAAAUCGAGAGGAGGAAUAGAAGCUGUCAGCAGUUGUCAUUAUAUUUACACACACACAAAUAGACGGCAGCUUGGUAGGCAGAAUUGAGGAGACUCCAGCUGGGAUUACAAUUAAUUGGAAGUAGCAACUCUGAGAAGAAUAAUUACACGCCUGCUGGGUGCUGAAAUUAAUCUGAAAACACACAAAAAUUCGACCGACUAUUUGAGGAAUUAAUUGACAGUAACUUGGGUUCUCUCCAAAGUCAAUUAUUGCGGCUGUUAAGAGAUUGAAUUGGUAGCAGCAAGGCAGUGGACGGAUGGAUAGAAAAAAAGCAAACGGCAGAAUUACUUCGAAAAUUAUUAAUGUUCCGCCAAUUCCCGGUGAUGUCUUCCAUAAUUUCUCGUUUUUCUUCCAUUAUUAUGAGUAGUUAAAUUUGAUUUUAG